CCAGCAGCCGCGGUAAUACGGGGGAUGCAAGCGUUAUCCGGAAUCAUUGGGCGUAAAGCGCCUGUAGGUUGUUUAAUAAGUCUGUUGUUAAAGACUAGGGCUCAACCCUAGAAAAGCAAUGGAAACUACUAGACUAGAGUAUGGCAGGGGUAGAGGGAAUUUCUAGUGUAGCGGUGAAAUGCGUAGAUAUUAGAAAGAACACCAGUGGCGAAAGCGCUCUACUGGACCAUUACUGACACUCAGAGGCGAAAGCUAGGGUAGCAAAAGGGAUUAGAUACCCCUGUAGUCCUAGCCGUAAACGAUGGAUACUAGAUGUUGUGCACAAUGUACAGUAUCGUAGCUAACGCGUUAAGUAUCCCGCCUGGGGAGUACGCUCGCAAGGGUGAAACUCAAAGGAAUUGACGGGGGCCCGCACAAGCGGUGGAGCAUGUGGUUUAAUUCGAUGCAACGCGAAGAACCUUACCAGGACUUGACAUACUACAAAUUUUCUUGAGAAAGAAAAGUGCCUUCGGGAAUGUAGAUACAGGUGGUGCAUGGCUGUCGUCAGCUCGUGUCGUGAGAUGUUGGGUUAAGUCCCGCAACGAGCGCAACCCUUAUUUUUGGUUACUAAUUCGUUAGGCUCUCUAGAAAGACUGCCGGUGACAAACCGGAGGAAGGCGAGGAUGACGUCAAGUCAGCAUGCCCCUUAUGUCCUGGGCUACACACGUGCUACAAUGGUUAAGACAAAGAGUCGCGAGCUUGCGAAAGUCAGCUAAUCUCAUAAACUUAGCCUAAGUUCAGA
RNAcentral lists this ribosomal RNA (781 nucleotides) under uncultured phototrophic eukaryote. Its description in RNAcentral is "bacterial SSU rRNA". It matches the Rfam family "Bacterial small subunit ribosomal RNA", at positions 508 to 1297 of the family's 1533-position model. The record is from RNAcentral.